GAUCAUGGCUCAGGGUGAACGCUGGCGGCGUGCCUAACACAUGCAAGUCGAACGAGGCAAAUGAGAUGAAGUUUUCGGAUGGAUUCUUAUUUACCGAGUGGCGGACGGGUGAGUAACGCGUGGGUAACCUGCCUCAUACAGGGGGAUAACGAUUGGAAACGAUUGCUAAUACCGCAUAAGCGCACAGUACCACAUGGUGCAGUGUGAAAAACUCCGGUGGUAUGAGAUGGACCCGCGU
This 238-nucleotide ribosomal RNA is filed under the name uncultured bacterium. RNAcentral's name for it is "partial 16S ribosomal RNA". It matches the Rfam family "Bacterial small subunit ribosomal RNA", at positions 15 to 236 of the family's 1533-position model. The record is from RNAcentral.